AGUGAUGGAGCGACGCCGCGUGUGGGACGAAGUCCUUCGGGAUGUAAACCACUGUCAGGGGAAAGAAAGUUCUGAUCUACCCCAGAGGAAGAGACGGCUAACUCUGUGCCAGCAGCCGCGGUAAGACAGAGGUCUCGAGCGUUAGGCGGAAUCACUGGGCUUAAAGCGUGUGUAGGUGGAUGUCUAAGUACCUUGUGAAAUCCCACGGCUUAACCGUGGAAUUGCUUGGUAUACUGGAUGUCUUGAGCCACUUAGGGGCAACCGGAACAAAUGGUGGAGCGGUGAAAUGCGUAGAUAUCAUUUGGAACGCCAAUGGUGAAAACAGGUUGCUGGGAGUGUGCUGACACUGAGACACGAAAGCCAGGGGAGCAAACGGGAUUAGAUACCCCGGUAGUUCUGGCCAUAAACGAUGUCCACUAGAUCGUGGCGCCUCUGACGGCGUCAUGGUCGAAGCAAAAGUGCUAAGUGGACCGCCUGGGAAGUACGGUCGCAAGGCUA
Molecule: ribosomal RNA, 498 nt
Filed under: uncultured bacterium
Lineage: Bacteria
Description: bacterial SSU rRNA
Rfam family: Bacterial small subunit ribosomal RNA
Source: RNAcentral